RNAcentral lists this ribosomal RNA (303 nucleotides) under Anguilla rostrata (American eel). Its description in RNAcentral is "partial large subunit ribosomal RNA". It matches the Rfam family "Bacterial large subunit ribosomal RNA", at positions 1816 to 2168 of the family's 2925-position model. Lineage: Eukaryota; Metazoa; Chordata; Actinopteri; Anguilliformes; Anguillidae. The record is from RNAcentral.
CGCCUCUUGCUAACAAAGGAAGUACUAGAGGUCCCGCCUGCCCUGUGACCACAAAGUUUAACGGCCGCGGUAUCCUGACCGUGCGAAGGUAGCGUAAUCAUUUGUCUUUUAAAUAGAGACCUGUAUGAAUGGCAUAACGAGGGUUUAACUGUCUCCUUCCCCAAGUCAAUGAAAUUGAUCUGCCCGUGCAGAAGCGGACAUAAAUACAUAAGACGAGAAGACCCUAUGGAGCUUUAGACAAAAGAUCAAACAUGUAAAGAAACCAAAACAACCAAAAGGAACACGAAGGCCACAAAACCCAAC